RNAcentral lists this small RNA (69 nucleotides) under Flavobacterium sp. 103. Its description in RNAcentral is "Flavo-1 RNA". It matches the Rfam family "Flavo-1 RNA". Lineage: Bacteria; Pseudomonadati; Bacteroidota; Flavobacteriia; Flavobacteriales; Flavobacteriaceae. The record is from RNAcentral.
UCAUAGCCCUGAUAGAAGUGGAAAUCCCACGCUUUUGGGCGUGGAUUGAAACGGAUAGCAGACACGAGC